This 263-nucleotide long non-coding RNA is filed under the name Gopherus agassizii (Agassiz's desert tortoise). RNAcentral's name for it is "lncRNA (ENSGAGG00000005658.1)". Lineage: Eukaryota; Metazoa; Chordata; Testudines; Testudinidae. The record is from RNAcentral.
AUUCUAUCAGGCAAUCUGGUAAAUAGCAGUGUGUGUCUAAUAUAUUUGAAAGGAGUUGGAGGGAGUGUUAAACAGCAAAGCAGCAAAAUGAAAAGUGUCUUCAGUCAAGCCAGAGAAAUCGGCUAUCUUGGUGCUGAAAACAGUAGUUUUGACAUCGUCUAAACAGGAAUAAUCCAGGAACAGUGAGGAAAGGUAUGUGCACACUGGCCAUUUUGAGCCCUUUUCUUAAAAACUGUAUAACUAAAAAUGGCAUGCUGUUUCCU